GCCCCCAUUGGCUGCAGUGUCCGCCUCCGCCCUUUCCACCGCCCCCAACCCGGAGGUCUCUCUCACGUCCCCCCCUUCCAAGUCUGCCCCCCUCCCCCAGUCAGAUCUGGGCUCCCUCUGCAGCUGCCGCUUCUGCCUUCCGCGCCCCCGGCCCAGCCAUGGUGACCCCCGGGCCCGUCACACAGGGAACCCAGAGACAGCAGUUUCCCGGAGAUGCUGGUUUGUUCUGAUCGAUGACCAAAUGGGCCUACAAAGACCUCACACCAAAGGAGCCCAAACCUCAUCCCAAUCCACCAUCAUCUGAGGGGAAUCUCAGGUCUCAGGAAAUCCACGGGGAGGGAGGAAGCCACGUGUUCUGUCCUACAGUCACUGAGAAAGCUCAUCUUCAGAGAAGAAAGAGCCACUUCUCAGGAACCUGACCGUUUCUACUAUGACUAUGACUCUGUUCGUAUUGUGGGACUUACUCUGGCUACUAUCAUGUUUGUUCU
Non-coding RNA from Phascolarctos cinereus (koala), 488 nucleotides. NCBI's taxonomy places the organism in Eukaryota, Metazoa, Chordata, Mammalia, Diprotodontia, Phascolarctidae. The record is from RefSeq and is a predicted model, not a curated record.